GAUGAACGCUGGCGGCGUGCCUAAUACAUGCAAGUCGAGCGAACAGACGAGGAGCUUGCUCCUCUGACGUUAGCGGCGGACGGGUGGGUAACACGUGGAUAACCUACCUAUAAGACUGGGAUAACUUCGGGAAACCGGAGCUAAUACCGGAUAAUAUAUUGAACCGCAUGGUUCAAUAGUGAAAGACGGUUUUGCUGUCACUUAUAGAUGGAUCCGCGCCGCAUUAGCUAGUUGGUAAGGUAACGGCUUACCAAGGCAACGAUGCGUAGCCGACCUGAGAGGGUGAUCGGCCACACUGGAACUGAGACACGGUCCAGACUCCUACGGGAGGCAGCAGUAGGGAAUCUUCCGCAAUGGGCGAAAGCCUGACGGAGCAACGCCGCGUGAGUGUUGAAGGUCUUCGGAUCGUAAAACUCUGUUAUUAGGGAAGAACAAAUGUGUAAGUAACUAUGCACGUCUUGACGGUACCUAAUCAGAAAGCCACGGCUAACUACGUG
This 497-nucleotide ribosomal RNA is filed under the name uncultured bacterium. RNAcentral's name for it is "partial 16S ribosomal RNA". It matches the Rfam family "Bacterial small subunit ribosomal RNA", at positions 28 to 507 of the family's 1533-position model. The record is from RNAcentral.